RNAcentral lists this transfer RNA (66 nucleotides) under Metalimnobia quadrinotata. RNAcentral's name for it is "tRNA-Asp". The record is from RNAcentral. Lineage: Eukaryota; Metazoa; Arthropoda; Insecta; Diptera; Limoniidae.
AAAAAAUUAGUUAAAAUAUAACAUUAGUAUGUCAAACUAAAAUUAUUUAAUCUUAAAUAUUUUUUG